Molecule: unclassified non-coding RNA, 388 nt
Filed under: fungal sp.
Lineage: Eukaryota; Fungi
Description: partial internal transcribed spacer region
Rfam family: Eukaryotic small subunit ribosomal RNA (bases 1-46)
Source: RNAcentral
AAGUCGUAACAAGGUUUCCGUAGGUGAACCUGCGGUUGGAUCAUUACUGAAUAUAUGAAUUUGGAGGGUUUUUCGUUAAAUCGAAAAAACCUAACAAAAAAAAAAUUCAUAACACUCCACUUGUGAACUGUUUACCGUACCUUGUUUGGCAGCCCACCUAAUUUUUUGUCGACUGUUAUGGUAGGCAAAUGAAAAAGGGUUAACUAGGUAAGGGAGAGAGGUGGGGGGUCAAACCCCUCCCCCUCCCUCCCCCACGCCUUUGUUGAUCUGGGGCUGUCAGACGCUAUAUAAACAAACUCGUUUUUCUUAAUAUUAAUGCAGUCUUUUUCUAAAUUAUUUUAUAAUUGAAAAAAAAAAACAACUUUUGACAACGGAUCUCUUGGCUCUC